RNAcentral lists this ribosomal RNA (734 nucleotides) under fungal endophyte. Its description in RNAcentral is "eukaryotic LSU rRNA". The stretch from base 456 to 734 matches the Rfam family "Eukaryotic large subunit ribosomal RNA", at positions 1 to 279 of the family's 3401-position model. Lineage: Eukaryota; Fungi. The record is from RNAcentral.
UUGUUAAAACUACCUUGUUGCUUUGGCGGGACCGCUCGGUCUCGAGCCGCUGGGGAUUCGUCCCAGGCGAGCGCCCGCCAGAGUUAAACCAAACUCUUGUUAUUUAACCGGUCGUCUGAGUUAAAAUUUUGAAUAAAUCAAAACUUUCAACAACGGAUCUCUUGGUUCUCGCAUCGAUGAAGAACGCAGCGAAAUGCGAUAAGUAAUGUGAAUUGCAGAAUUCAGUGAAUCAUCGAAUCUUUGAACGCACAUUGCGCCCCUUGGUAUUCCGAGGGGCAUGCCUGUUCGAGCGUCAUUACACCACUCAAGCUAUGCUUGGUAUUGGGUGCCGUCCUUAGUUGGGCGCGCCUUAAAGACCUCGGCGAGGCCUCACCGGCUUUAGGCGUAGUAGAAUUUAUUCGAACGUCUGUCAAAGGAGAGGACUUCUGCCGACUGAAACCUUUAUUUUUCUAGGUUGACCUCGGAUCAGGUAGGGAUACCCGCUGAACUUAAGCAUAUCAAUAAGCGGAGGAAAAGAAACCAACAGGGAUUGCCCUAGUAACGGCGAGUGAAGCGGCAACAGCUCAAAUUUGAAAGCUGGCCUUCGGGUCCGCAUUGUAAUUUGUAGAGGAUGCUUUGGGUGAAACGCCAGUCUAAGUUCCUUGGAACAGGACGUCAUAGAGGGUGAGAAUCCCGUAUGUGACUGGAAAUGUUAACCUAUGUAAAGCUCCUUCGACGAGUCGAGUUGUUUGGGA